GCAGUCGAGCGCACCUUCGGGUGAGCGGCGGACGGGUGAGUAACGCGUGGGAACGUACCCUUUGCUUCGGAAUAGCCUCGGGAAACUGAGAGUAAUACCGGAUACGCCCUUUUGGGGAAAGAUUUAUCGGCGAAGGAUCGGCCCGCGUUGGAUUAGGUAGUUGGUGGGGUAAAGGCCUACCAAGCCUACGAUCCAUAGCUGGUUUGAGAGGAUGAUCAGCCACACUGGGACUGAGACACGGCCCAGACUCCUACGGGAGGCAGCAGUGGGGAAUCUUAGACAAUGGGGGCAACCCUGAUCUAGCCAUGCCGCGUGAGUGAUGAAGGCCUUAGGGUUGUAAAGCUCUUUCAGCUGGGAAGAUAAUGACGGUACCAGCAGAAGAAGCCCCGGCUAACUCCGUGCCAGCAGCCGCGGUAAUACGGAGGGGGCUAGCGUUGUUCGGAAUUACUGGGCGUAAAGCGCACGUAGGCGGACCAGAAAGUUGGGGGUGAAAUCCCGGGGCUCAACCUCGGAACUGCCUUCAAAACUAUUGGUCUGGAGUUCGAGAGAGGUGAGUGGAAUUCCGAGUGUAGAGGUGAAAUUCGUAGAUAUUCGGAGGAACACCAGUGGCGAAGGCGGCUCACUGGCUCGAUACUGACGCUGAG
Molecule: ribosomal RNA, 644 nt
Filed under: bacterium 56-L049658-122-015-H07
Lineage: Bacteria
Description: bacterial SSU rRNA
Rfam family: Bacterial small subunit ribosomal RNA
Source: RNAcentral